AGGGUUGGCCACCUUGAGAAGCUGCGAAGAUGGCGGAGUAAGGCGUGCCGCUGCAAACUGGCCUCUGGGCCGGGGGCGAGCAGCCCCCGGGAGGCCGAGUGCAUCUGUUGGACCGUGCGAGGAGAAGAAAAAAAAUAUCGGCCAGAGGAGAGGAACUAACCGAACAUUCUUCCUCCCUACCUUAUAGAGGGGAGUGGUCAUCUACACUAAAGCAAAGUGUUAGGCGCGUCCGUGCGAAGAGACCACCAAACAGGCUUUGUGUUCCUUAUCACAGGAAGAAAAUUUUCCUUGACCUUUAGGUGCUUUUAUAUUCAUCUCAAAAACAAAAUUCUGAACUCAGGACUUGGCAAGGUCUCACUGUCGCCCAGGCUGGAGUGUAGUGGCACAGUUUCAGCUCACUACAACUUCACCUCCUGGGCUCAAGCGAUUCUCCCACUUCAGCCUCCUGGGUAGUCGGGACUACAGGCACAUGCCACCGCACUUGCUAAUUUUUUCAGUUUUUGUAGAGACAGAAUGUCAGUAUAUUGCCAGGCUAGUCUCGAACUCGUGAGCUCAAGCAGUCUUUCCCCGCCUCAGCCUCCCAAAGUGCUGGGAUCAUAGGUGUGAGCCACUGUGCCCAGACAGCCAUCCUCAAAUGGUCUCUCUCUGUUGCCCAGGCUGGAGUGAUGCGUGAUUUCUGCUCACUGCAGUCUCUCCCACCCGGGUUCAAGCGAUUCUCCUGCCUCAGCCUCCCAAGUAGCUAGGAUUACAGGCGCGCACCACCACGCUCAGCCUGAUUUCUAGGCUGAAAAGGCUGGGACUCAGGUACUUUCCCCAGUUGGGACUGAACUUUCUCAUCAGAGAAUGGGCCUCAGAAGCAAUGUUCCCAAACUUGUGGUUGGGUCAUCGUGGAAAAGAAACCUCAAAUAAGAAAAAUAAUUACAAUAAGAAAUGGAUUUUCUUUUUUCCCACAACAGUUAUACAUUAUAAAGAACAGACUGUCGUAGAAAACUGUCUUUGCUUCCAAAUCAGCAGAGGACCAUUGUAUGUAUUGUCAGGUCUUUAUAUAAGAGUGAAACCUUUAUUUAUGCUUCUUGUGAGUAGAGAAUAAAUUUUAAAACUAAUUAGAUGAAAUUAAGAACAGAGUAUUGGAACAUCUCUGUGUUUUCCGGAAUGUUUACUCAGGUCCAUGAAUGCUGUGAUGCUGGGAACUUAGGGAAGAUUCACCAAAAUUUGAGAGUGAUAAAAAUGGCCUAAAAUGGGAAAUGGUGAGCACUCUUAUUAUUAGUGAGAUUGGUCAAUCAGCCCAUUUGAAAUGGGUAAAAAAUACUUUCAGUAAAAUAAUUACAUAUUAUAUAUAAAAUAUUUCUUUUUUUGAGGGCAGCUACUGAGUGAUAAAAGCAUAGUAGAAAUCACUUUGGUUAAAAGUAACUCAAAUUUUUCUCUUAAGUAAUCUACCAACUUCCUGAUGUUUUUCUUUAAUAUUUUGGAACUGUUCAAGACAGAAUGGAGCCUACAUAUAUGGUGUUCCACUAGUAUGUUGAAAAUGUCAUAUCAUGGAGAAUGGAGACACCUUCCAGGUGUCUGUUAAACCCAUCUUCUCUGUGUACUUCUGGCAUCUUUUUUGGUAGGAUCAUUUGGCAGGGGGUAGAGUACCUGUACUUUUGGCACCAUUGAAACCAGCUCUGGCCCACUUGUUUGAAUAGCUAUCAGACUCAGCGUCUCUAUAUGCUUUAUAUACAGUUGAGAGAACCAGUGUUUAAUGCUCUUGAAAUUGUAUCUUCCAUGCUUCAGACCAGAUGCAUUUAACAAAAUGGAUAUAUUCCAGCUGUAGUUGCCCAGUGUUUACUUAACACAUCUACAUUUUUUUCUUGUCUAUUUUGGUCCCCUUGAUAGGAAAAGCUAUAAUUUUAGGCAGGACUAUACGUCGAUUUGUAGCCAUGCUUCCUUCCUUUCCCUUGCUCAUCCAUGUUAGCUGGCAGUUUUUCUUUUGAAAAGUUAAAACCGGGAUAUGUGCAAUAGAAAUAUAUAUAUAUAUAUGUAUAUUUUAAUACUUGUGGACAAAUGUUACAAGUUGUUUAAGAACAACAAAAUCACCAAUGUCUUCCAUUUUGAGAUGUGUAUAGUUUUGUAAGCAUUAGUGCUUGGUAGCAUAUUGUAGUGCCAUGUUAGGGGUUAGUGCAUGAGUCUAGUGAUUUUAAACUUCAGGAUGAAUUAUUGAUAAUAACAAAUAGUGUAAAAAGAGUGGAAAAUCUAAACCUUUUCUUUUUCCAUAAUGUCUAAAUCUGUUAUAUUCUUCCUGGGGAAAAGAGAUUAAGGCCCAAAAGACUCAUUUAUGAAUAGAAAUGUGGGGUCAAAAUCUGAGAUACUAUAUUUGAGGACAUUUCAGCUUUCCAUAAGGUAUCUGGAAACCAGCUGUCUUUGUGUCUUAUGAAACCUCAAGUCAAAAUGAGACCGCAUUUAAUUAUUCUGCUUUGCUCUUUUUUUGGGGUGGGGGGGAGAUAGAGUUUCACUCUGUCACCCAGGCUGGAGUGCAGUGGCACAAUCUUUGCUCACUGUAACCUCUGCCUCUUGGGUUCAAGUGAUUCUCGUGCCCCAGCCUCCCGAGUAGCUGGGACUACAGGCACGUGCCACCACGCCCAGCUAAUUUUUAUAUUUUUAGUAGAGACGGGGUUUUGCUGUGUUGGCCAGGCUGGUCUCAAACUCCUGACCUCAAGUAAUCCACCUGGCCUGCUCUUUUCAUGUCUUAACAUGGCAUGUCUUUUAGUUUCAUUAUUUUCCUACUCCUUGUAUGUCAAGAAAUUACAUUUUGCAUGUCUUAUGGAGAUGCUGUUAAUUGCUUCAGUGAGUGCUUUUCUAAUCUGCAGACCAUUUACAUUUCCUGUUUGCAGCAUGCUGUGUGCAAACACUCAGUAAUUUGGAGUAUUCAAUUAUUUGUUAGGGCUCUUCCUAUUUCCAAAUGUGCUGAAUUGUCUAUUGAUGGGAUUUUCAGAUCUUUUCAUGAGAACUGGAAAUGUAGCUGGGUGGCACCUACCUAGGUUGCUACGUAGUGAGUAGACUUUCUCUUGGGUAUAGUAAGCCUCAGACAGCUUUCACUUUUAUCUACUUUACUUGUGGAAAUAAAACAGUCAUUUUGUUCUGAAAGAAUAAGAUAGCUUUCUGUAGAGAAGGAAUUCCUACCUCUAAAAGCUGCCUUGAGAACUCAGAACUGGCAGUUUUCUGAGGUGAUUUUUAAAUUUCAGUAUUAGGGAGAGUCCAGCAUUUGCUGACACAGAUUCUACAUAACUAAUGUAUGAUAGCAAAUGCAAAACUAUUAUAAUGUGGUGUAUCUUGCGCAUACACAGGUUAGAACAAGUAGACUCUGGCAGCA
Molecule: long non-coding RNA, 3349 nt
Organism: Homo sapiens (human)
Lineage: Eukaryota; Metazoa; Chordata; Mammalia; Primates; Hominidae
Gene: OIP5-AS1
Product: OIP5 antisense RNA 1
Source: Ensembl